This 495-nucleotide ribosomal RNA is filed under the name uncultured bacterium. RNAcentral's name for it is "partial 16S ribosomal RNA". It matches the Rfam family "Bacterial small subunit ribosomal RNA", at positions 28 to 507 of the family's 1533-position model. The record is from RNAcentral.
GACGAACGCUGGCGGCGUGCCUAAUACAUGCAAGUAGAACGCUGAAGGAGGAGCUUGCUUCUCUGGAUGAGUUGCGAACGGGUGAGUAACGCGUAGGUAACCUGCCUGGUAGCGGGGGAUAACUAUUGGAAACGAUAGCUAAUACCGCAUAAUAGUAGAUGUUGCAUGACAUUUGCUUAAAAGGUGCAAUUGCAUCACUACCAGAUGGACCUGCGUUGUAUUAGCUAGUUGGGGGGGUAACGGCUCACCAAGGCGACGAUACAUAGCCGACCUGAGAGGGUGAUCGGCCACACUGGGACGGAGACACGGCCCAGACUCCUACGGGAGGCAGCAGUAGGGAAUCUUCGGCAAUGGACGGAAGUCUGACCGAGCAACGCCGCGGGAGGGAAGAAGGUUGUCGGAUCGUAAAGCUCGGUUGUAAGAGAAGAACGAGUGUGAGAGUGGAAAGUUCACACUGUGACGGUAUCUGACCAGAAAGGGACGGCUAACUACGUG